GUCUACGGCCAUACCACCCUGAACACGCCCGAUCUCGUCUGAUCUCGGAAGCUAAGCAGGGUCAGGCCUGGUUAGUAAUUGGAUGGGAGAUUAACGAAAAGAUGAAGUCAUGCCAUUUGCA
Ribosomal RNA from Erinaceus europaeus (western European hedgehog), 121 nucleotides. The record is from Ensembl. NCBI's taxonomy places the organism in Eukaryota, Metazoa, Chordata, Mammalia, Eulipotyphla, Erinaceidae.